UGGGGAAUAUUGGACAAUGGGCGAAAGCCUGAUCCAGCCAUGCCGCGUGUGUGAAGAAGGUCUUCGGAUUGUAAAGCACUUUAAGUUGGGAGGAAGGGCAGUAAGUUAAUACCUUGCUGUUUUGACGUUACCAACAGAAUAAGCACCGGCUAACUUCGUGCCAGCAGCCGCGGUAAUACGAAGGGUGCAAGCGUUAAUCGGAAUUACUGGGCGUAAAGCGCGCGUAGGUGGUUCAGCAAGUUGGAUGUGAAAUCCCCGGGCUCAACCUGGGAACUGCAUCCAAAACUACUGAGCUAGAGUACGGUAGAGGGUGGUGGAAUUUCCUGUGUGGCGGUGAAAUGCGUAGAUAUAGGAAGGAACACCAGUGGCGAAGGCGACCACCUGGACUGAUACUGACACUGAGGUGCGAAAGCGUGGGGGAGCAAACAGGAUUAGAUACCCUGGUAGUCCACGCCGUAAACGAUGUCGACUAGGCCGUUGGGAUCCAUUGAGAUCUUAGUGGCGCAGNUAACGCGAUAANGUCGACCGCCUGGGGAGUAACGGNCGGCAAGGUUAAA
RNAcentral lists this ribosomal RNA (557 nucleotides) under uncultured bacterium. RNAcentral describes it as "bacterial SSU rRNA". It matches the Rfam family "Bacterial small subunit ribosomal RNA", at positions 355 to 898 of the family's 1533-position model. The record is from RNAcentral.